AUGCCUGCCUCGACUGCACAAGUACUCAAAUUAAAAUGAUAAUACAGAGAUUAGCAUGGCCCCUGCACAAGAAUGACACAUAAAUUUGUGGUGUUCUGUAUGAAAAA
RNAcentral lists this small nuclear RNA (107 nucleotides) under Prolemur simus (greater bamboo lemur). Lineage: Eukaryota; Metazoa; Chordata; Mammalia; Primates; Lemuridae. The record is from RNAcentral.